Molecule: ribosomal RNA, 254 nt
Filed under: uncultured bacterium
Lineage: Bacteria
Description: partial 16S ribosomal RNA
Rfam family: Bacterial small subunit ribosomal RNA
Source: RNAcentral
UACGGAGGAUGCAAGCGUUAUCCGGAAUGAUUGGGCGUAAAGAGCUCGUAGGCGGUGUGUCACGUCGGCCGUGAAAACCUGCAGCUUAACUGUGGGCGUGCGGUCGAUACGGGCAUCACUGGAGUUCGGCAGGGGAGACUGGAAUUCCUGGUGUAGCGGUGAAAUGCGCAGAUAUCAGGAGGAACACCGGUGGCGAAGGCGGGUCUCUGGGCCGAUACUGACGCUGAGGAGCGAAAGCGUGGGGAGCAAACAGG